UAGGGAAUAUUGCGCAAUGGGCGAAAGCCUGACGCAGCAACACCGCGUGGAGGAUGAAGCAUUUCGGUGUGUAAACUCCUGUCGACAGGGAAGAAAUUUGACUGUACCUGUAAAGGAAGCAUCGGCUAACUACGUGCCAGCAGCCGCGGUAAGACGUAGGAUGCAAGCGUUGUCCGGAAUUAUUGGGCGUAAAGAGUUCGUAGGCGGUUUGUUAAGUCUGGUGUUAAAUCCCCAAGCUCAACUUGGGUAUGGCAUUGGAUACUGGCAGGCUAGAGUGCGGUAGAGGUAAUUGGAAUUCCAGGUGUAGCGGUGAAAUGCGUAGAUAUCUGGAGGAACACCAGUGGCGAAAGCGAAUUGCUGGCCCGCAACUGACGCUGAGGAACGAGAGCUAGGGGAGCAAAAGGG
Molecule: ribosomal RNA, 405 nt
Filed under: uncultured bacterium
Lineage: Bacteria
Description: bacterial SSU rRNA
Rfam family: Bacterial small subunit ribosomal RNA
Source: RNAcentral